GUAGGGAAUAUUGGACAAUGGGCGAAAGCCUGAUCCAGCCAUGCCGCGUGUGUGAAGAAGGUCUUCGGAUUGUAAAGCACUUUAAGUUGGGAGGAAGGGCAGUAAGUUAAUACCUUGCUGUUUUGACGUUACCGACAGAAUAAGCACCGGCUAACUUCGUGCCAGCAGCCGCGGUAAUACGAAGGGUGCAAGCGUUAAUCGGAAUUACUGGGCGUAAAGCGCGCGUAGGUGGUUUUGUAAGUUGGAGGUGAAAUCCCCGGGCUCAACCUGGGAAUUGCCUCCAAAACUGCAUGACUAGAGUACGGUAGAGGGUAGUGGAAUUUCCUGUGUAGCGGUGAAAUGCGUAGAUAUAGGAAGGAACACCAGUGGCGAAGGCGACUACCUGGACUGAUACUGACACUGAGGUGCGAAAGCGUGGGGAGCAAACAGGAUUAGAAACCCGAGUAGUCC
Molecule: ribosomal RNA, 450 nt
Filed under: uncultured bacterium
Lineage: Bacteria
Description: partial 16S ribosomal RNA
Rfam family: Bacterial small subunit ribosomal RNA
Source: RNAcentral